UACGUAGGGUGCGAGCGUUGUCCGGAAUUAUUGGGCGUAAAGAGCUUGUAGGCGGUCCGUCACGUCGGAAGUGAAAACUCAGGGCUUAACCCUGAGCCUGCUUUCGAUACGGGCGGACUUGAGGGAUGUAGGGGAGAACGGAAUUCCUGGUGGAGCGGUGGAAUGCGCAGAUAUCAGGAGGAACACCAGUGGCGAAGGCGGUUCUCUGGACAUUUCCUGACGCUGAGAAGCGAAAGCGUGGGGAGCAAACAGGCUUAGAUACCCUGGUAGUCCACGCCGUAAACGGUGGGCACUAGGUGUGGGACCCUUCCACGGGUUCCGUGCCGUAGCUAACGCAUUAAGUGCCCCGCCUGGGGAGUACGGCCGCAAGGCUAAA
RNAcentral lists this ribosomal RNA (376 nucleotides) under uncultured bacterium. Its description in RNAcentral is "bacterial SSU rRNA". It matches the Rfam family "Bacterial small subunit ribosomal RNA", at positions 524 to 898 of the family's 1533-position model. The record is from RNAcentral.